GACGAACGCUGGCGGCGUGCCUAAUACAUGCAAGUCGAACGCUUCUUUUUCCACCGGAGCUUGCUCCACCGGAAAAAGAGGAGUGGCGAACGGGUGAGUAACACGUGGGUAACCUGCCCAUCAGAAGGGGAUAACACUUGGAAACAGGUGCUAAUACCGUAUAACAAUCAAAACCGCAUGGUUUUGAUUUGAAAGGCGCUUUCGGGUGUCGCUGAUGGAUGGACCCGCGGUGCAUUAGCUAGUUGGUGAGGUAACGGCUCACCAAGGCCACGAUGCAUAGCCGACCUGAGAGGGUGAUCGGCCACAUUGGGACUGAGACACGGCCCAAACUCCUACGGGAGGCAGCAGUAGGGAAUCUUCGGCAAUGGACGAAAGUCUGACCGAGCAACGCCGCGUGAGUGAAGAAGGUUUUCGGAUCGUAAAACUCUGUUGUUAGAGAAGAACAAGGAUGAGAGUAACUGUUCAUCCCCUGACGGUAUCUAACC
RNAcentral lists this ribosomal RNA (485 nucleotides) under uncultured bacterium. Its description in RNAcentral is "bacterial SSU rRNA". It matches the Rfam family "Bacterial small subunit ribosomal RNA", at positions 28 to 484 of the family's 1533-position model. The record is from RNAcentral.